RNAcentral lists this transfer RNA (74 nucleotides) under Loxodonta africana (African savanna elephant). It matches the Rfam family "tRNA". Rfam says of the family: Transfer RNA (tRNA) molecules are approximately 80 nucleotides in length. The record is from Rfam by way of RNAcentral. Lineage: Eukaryota; Metazoa; Chordata; Mammalia; Proboscidea; Elephantidae.
GGUUCCAUGAUGUAGUGGUUAACACAUCUGCUUUACACAUAGAAGAUCCUGGGUUCAAUCCCAGGGUGGAGACA